AAGCCAACGAUCUAACAAGACUUACGAUUACAACUCUGUUUGGAAAGCUGGAAGAACAUCAGCAAGCAUUGGAAAGUCUUGAAAAAUAUGAGAACAAAAGUAAGAAAGAAAAGGAGAAGAAAAGAGACAAAGAGGGAGAGAAGAAGCCAAUAGUUCUUGUGGCCUCCAGCUCUAAGUCCUCACGAAAAGAGCAAAGUGACAAUGAUUCUAGUAGUGGCAAAGAUUCGGAUGAUGAAGAAAUGGGACUGUUUGUAAGGAGAUAUAACAGAU
RNAcentral lists this long non-coding RNA (270 nucleotides) under Lathyrus oleraceus (garden pea). RNAcentral's name for it is "Pisum sativum (pea) long non-coding RNA (PSAT_LNC038364)". The record is from RNAcentral. Lineage: Eukaryota; Viridiplantae; Streptophyta; Magnoliopsida; Fabales; Fabaceae.